UACAGAGGAUGCAAGCGUUAAUCGGAAUUACUGGGCGUAAAGCGCGCGUAGGUGGUUUGUUAAGUUGGAUGUGAAAGCCCCGGGCUCAACCUGGGAACUGCAUUCAAAACUGACAAGCUGGAGUAUGGUAGAGGGUGGUGGAAGUUCCUGUGUAGCGGUGAAAUGCGUAGAUAUAGGAAGGAACACCAGUGGCGAAGGCGACCACCUGGACUGAUACUGACACUGAGGUGCGAAAGCGUGGGGAGCAAACAGG
Molecule: ribosomal RNA, 253 nt
Filed under: uncultured bacterium
Lineage: Bacteria
Description: partial 16S ribosomal RNA
Rfam family: Bacterial small subunit ribosomal RNA
Source: RNAcentral